Molecule: non-coding RNA, 253 nt
Organism: Paramuricea clavata
Lineage: Eukaryota; Metazoa; Cnidaria; Anthozoa; Malacalcyonacea; Plexauridae
Source: the annotation of a GenBank genome assembly
UUAGGGACGGACCAUUUGAUUUUUGAUGGGGGGGUGGGUAGAUUUUCAGUUUGCUCGAUAUUUUUUUUCCGCCUCCUGACACUGUUCGAUUUUUUUUUGUCAGUCAGAGGACUUGCACGAUAUUUUUUUGUAUGCAUGUAUAUACAUUUUUUAGUUUUUUGUUUUUACAUUUUUUGGUAUACAGUAUAAUAGGUAUUAAAUUGGACAAGUACUGGUGUAAGACAUUGUGUAGCCUAAAUAAUGAGAGGACCAG